GGAGAACAGGACUUACGACUUUCAGACGGUUCAAGCCAUCAGAAUCUGGUUUACUGUCACCAAAAACUUCCAAAACCUCUUCUCUUGCCUUAGUCUGCCAAUGUGGAUGCCUUGCCAACAAAAUCAUUGUCCAAACCAGCAAAACGGAGGUGGUCUCUUGGCCAGCAAAGUAAAACAGCUUGCACUCCUCAAUCACAUCUUCAAUGCUCAUUCCCAUGUUCUUGUGAUCCCCUUGUUCUUGAAUUUCUCUAAUGUUGGAUUCUACAAGUAUGCCUAACAAGUCAUCAUUACUGACUUCACUCGCCUUAGUUGCCUCCUCUCUUUUCUUUAUCAUUCCCUUCAGUGAGUCUUUUAUAUCUUUGGCAAUCACCUUCAUCUUCCUGUUUGUCUUAGUUGGUAGAUACCUAAUAAGACAAAUGUAAAAUAUAGCUUUUAGCACAUAAAGAAGAAAAUCCUUGACCAAAAUGGAUUGAACUGUGAAAAAUAACAAAUUUUACCUCCAUCCCGGAAUGUAAGCUGACUGUACCACUUGCAUUGUAAGACUGGUUUGAUCCUCUAGUAGUUGGAAAAUUCGUCUACCUUCUUCGUAGCUGCUUCCAAAUGCUGCUCGGGAAAUCACAUCUCUUGUCAAUUUUACGAGGUAAGGCCACACAUCUAACUCACUAGACCCCUCUAAGAAAACCAGCUUCUCCCAUUUGCUGAUCAUCUCAAUACAACUUUGAUAGAAAGCUGGCAACAUGUUCUGUAAUGAUUUCCACAUCAGGAUAAGAUUACUGUCAUUGGUACUAUUUUUGAACAAUUAAUACAUGUAUAUACUAAGUACUCAUUAACACCGUAAGCAAAUUUGGGAUGAAAUAAGUUAAUUUUGGUGCAGGGAGCCAUAAAUUUUCCUCGAUGUUUCUCCAUUAUUACUGCAUUUUCCAGGUGUUCCCAUAAAGGCUUCCUCACCAGCCACAACACUCAAAACAAACCAAGGAAGGAAUACCCAGUGCUACUCUGACUCAGUUGCAAUAAUUACCUCACCCAGGAUAAUUAAAGGAUGCAUAUUGAUAAAGAAAUCAAAAGUGGAAAUAGAACAUGCCUUCAACUUAUCUUGAUGAAAUGCAGGGUUGAUGAUCUUUCUAUGCUUAGCCCACUCCUCUCCAUCGAGGUUUACAAGUCCACUUACAAGUAAGGUGACAAGAGGGUUGCUAUGCGGCUUCUGAAAGUCAUUGAAUUUGGUAAAUAUCUCUCUUAUUUCUUCAGGUUCCAUGAUGGUCACCCUUGGAAUCGGACCAACCCAAGAAAAAGAACUCUUGCCUGCAUUUUCCCCAGAUUUCAUAUCAAAGCAUUGGGAAUUAAAAUUUUAAUUCAAAGAUUAAUUAAAUGCUUUCAGUGUGUUUAAUUACUCAAUUUUGAAUAUUCCUUUAAUAAAAUGUUAGGUUGUUGGAAUCUGCCUCAUGUACUUAACCAAUAUUUUAUAAUUCUUGUAUUUGAAUACUUAUGUUAUCCAUUAAACUUUUCAAUGCCAUUAAAACAGUAAUAAAAAUUUAUUCAAUAAUCAUUUUUGAUAAUGUACAGAAAGAAGAAGAAUUGAACAAUUAUUAACCCAAACAUGUCAUCAUACCCAACUUCAGCAAAAUGGCUUGUGGGCUCCAAUGGACUUUUGGCUUAUCCGUCACUUUCAUGUAUUUUUUAGUUUUUCUCCCAUUUGCCAUUUCAAUAUUAAAAUACUCCGGGAAAAAAAUUGGCUUAAAUUACUCAUACUAAACUUGAAUUAUGUUGUUCAGAAAAGAUUUUCCUAUAUUUUUUGAUCUAAAUUUAAACAUUUUCUUUCUGAUAGUAUUUCUUUCAAUUAAUCACUGUUUUCACUGAAUAAAACUUCGCAUGUUCAACAAUCACAGUAAUUGACACAUAUCAUUAAAAUAAUCAUCGAUUAAAUGGAUUCAUUUAAUUAUGUAUCAAAAAAUUGAUACAAAAUUAAAUACAUGUUAAAACUGAACGGACUAAAACCAUUUUUCAUGUUACUAAGAUGGAACAAAACACUAAAAAUUUUGUAAUAAAAUCAUAAUUUGAUCCAAAAAGACAACAUUCAAACUAUUAAGGGAUGAAAGAAGACCAUUUCCAAUUUAGGCAUACCAUAAUUCUUGACAGUUUGAUGAAGGAAAGGACCAACAUAUUGCGUAAUAUCAUCACCGAGGGGCAUAGGUUGGGAUCUUGCUUGUCUGCUCAUGGCGAAGCUCUCUUUGAUAUCUCCAGACAAAAACCUGUAAGAAUUGCCUGUAAGACCCUGUUGCCUCAGGCACCUUUCCAGCCUCUUUGGCUUCACCCACACCCAGUCUACGAUUCUCCAUCCCCAUAUCAAUAUCCCAACAACAAGGAAAGAAAGCGAAAUUCCAAUUACAGGGGGCACCUCCAUUUUUCUUUGCUGAGAAAAUGGUGUCUGAAGAGUAAGUGGGUUGUUUACGGAAGAGUAGACAAAGACUGAGGUUGGUUUAUGGGGUAAAAAGCUUGUGCAAUGGGCAAAGACAAAUGGUUGAUGUUACAGCUGAUAAGAGGUUCCUGGUGUCAAGGCAGGCGACGUGUACCUAAAUAUGACGAUUUAUGUUUUCGUAUCGUAAACGUAUCAAACACGAUUAGACACGAAAUAUAUUAAAAUUAAAUAUAAAUAUGAUAUAUUUAAUAUUCGUAUUUUAAAUUUAAAAUAUAUACACAUAUACGUUUAAUAAACGUAUAACAUGACACGACACGAUUAACACAUUUAUUAAACGUGUCAAUUUAUAACACGAUACGAUUAAUAAUACGUUUAACAUAAUUAUAUAAAAAUAUUUAAAAUUAAAUAUAAUUUUAUUAUUUAAAUUUAAAAUCUAUAAUUAUAAAAAUAAUUAUAAUAAAACAAAAAAAAAUAAUAUCAAAUAUAAUGAAAUUUAAUAUAAAUCACAUAUGCAAAAUUUAUUAUCAUAUAAUAUGAUAAAAUACAUCAUUAACAUCUAACUUUCAAAUACUAAUAAUAUAAAAAAUCAUUCAUAAUUUUUAAUCAUAAUAAUUACAUUAUUACAUUUAUAAAAUUAAAAAAACUUAUUAAAAUAAUUAUUUAAAAUUAUUUAUAUAAAACUAAAAUAAUCUUUAAUAAUUAUUUUUAAUAAGUUAAUAAACGUGUUACAUAUACACAUUUAAAUACGAUAACACGAUUAAAAAAAUAUAUUUAAAUGUGUUUGUCGUGUCUGACACGUUAAGACAAAAUUCAAACCAAAUUAAGAGUUUUUUUUUUGAAAUUCAAACCAAAUUAAGAGUCUAGUGUUAACAUUACACCAGCAACAAAAUUCAACUAGGAUGGGAAACACCCAAAACCUCUAUUUAGGGGUUUGAAAGCCCUUGUUUCCAGUGUUUGAAGAAAUCUGAAAAAUGGUACAAAAUUAACCAAUGGUUUAUUGGUUUUCAGAUUUAGACAAGUGAACUUAGAGUAACUUAUGUGAGACUUCGGAUACUCUUGAACCUUGAGCCAAUUAGAUAUUUCACAGACAGAUUGGUUCUCCUGAGUUUAAUUUUCAAUGUCUCAAAAGAUCUUUUUUGUUGCUUAAAAGAGAAAGCACCAUAGUUGAGGUCUAGCAAUUCAUCCCAUAAGUACAUGCUUCAUUGAGAGUUUGAGACUUGGCCCCUACGCUUGUAUUUGAAUUGUGUUACACUAUGAACGCUAGAUUUUGAUUAACAUUUACAUGAUGAACGAUGAACGUGAUUAUUGAUUGGGUUGUUUAACAUAUAACCUGAUGGUUUUACCACUAGAGUUUAUGUAAAAUUAUGUGAGCACCAUGCUGUGGACGUAGAGUGAUGUUGGUGCAGGGAGAGUGAGCAUAGGAAGGGGAAAGCUCGAACCAGAAUUGUCUGAGGAUCAUUGCAAGCGCCAUUUUUGCUUCCAUCAGAGCAAAGUUCUGUCCAAUGCAGAUUCUAGGACCCCAUCCAAAAGGGAAAUAUAUGACUUGACUCUUUGUUGCUUUCGAAACCCCUUCCGAGAACCUGUCAGGAUUGAACUCAUGUGCAUCAUCGCCCCAAAGUUCUUGAUCAUGGUGAAUCAGCAGCACUGGCAGCGUAAUUUCUGCGCCAGCUGGUAACAACAAUUUUCCCAGUCUCGUAUCUUUCGGAACGGAGCGCCCUAGUGCAACGACUGCCGGGUACAGCCUAAGAACCUCGUGCAAGAUCAUUGUUACCUGUGGCAUUGAAUCAAUUAAAGUAAAUAUAGAAAAAUGUGCUCUUAAUUUGGUCCAUUAUAAUCGGAGAACAGGACUUACGACUUUCAGACGGUUCAAGCCAUCAGAAUCUGGUUUACUGUCACCAAAAACUUCCAAAACCUCUUCUCUUGCCUUAGUCUGCCAAUGUGGAUGCCUUGCCAACAAAAUCAUUGUCCAAACCAGCAAAACGGAGGUGGUCUCUUGGCCAGCAAAGUAAAACAGCUUGCACUCCUCAAUCACAUCUUCAAUGCUCAUUCCCAUGUUCUUGUGAUCCCCUUGUUCUUGAAUUUCUCUAAUGUUGGAUUCUACAAGUAUGCCUAACAAGUCAUCAUUACUGACUUCAC
RNAcentral lists this long non-coding RNA (4549 nucleotides) under Theobroma cacao (cacao). RNAcentral's name for it is "long non-coding RNA (TCAC_LNC004337)". Lineage: Eukaryota; Viridiplantae; Streptophyta; Magnoliopsida; Malvales; Malvaceae. The record is from RNAcentral.